RNAcentral lists this ribosomal RNA (1113 nucleotides) under Staphylococcus aureus F42559. RNAcentral describes it as "bacterial SSU rRNA". It matches the Rfam family "Bacterial small subunit ribosomal RNA", at positions 8 to 1100 of the family's 1533-position model. The record is from RNAcentral. Lineage: Bacteria; Bacillati; Bacillota; Bacilli; Caryophanales; Staphylococcaceae.
AGAGUUUGAUCCUGGCUCAGGAUGAACGCUGGCGGCGUGCCUAAUACAUGCAAGUCGAGCGAACGGACGAGAAGCUUGCUUCUCUGAUGUUAGCGGCGGACGGGUGAGUAACACGUGGAUAACCUACCUAUAAGACUGGGAUAACUUCGGGAAACCGGAGCUAAUACCGGAUAAUAUUUUGAACCGCAUGGUUCAAAAGUGAAAGACGGUCUUGCUGUCACUUAUAGAUGGAUCCGCGCUGCAUUAGCUAGUUGGUAAGGUAACGGCUUACCAAGGCAACGAUGCAUAGCCGACCUGAGAGGGUGAUCGGCCACACUGGAACUGAGACACGGUCCAGACUCCUACGGGAGGCAGCAGUAGGGAAUCUUCCGCAAUGGGCGAAAGCCUGACGGAGCAACGCCGCGUGAGUGAUGAAGGUCUUCGGAUCGUAAAACUCUGUUAUUAGGGAAGAACAUAUGUGUAAGUAACUGUGCACAUCUUGACGGUACCUAAUCAGAAAGCCACGGCUAACUACGUGCCAGCAGCCGCGGUAAUACGUAGGUGGCAAGCGUUAUCCGGAAUUAUUGGGCGUAAAGCGCGCGUAGGCGGUUUUUUAAGUCUGAUGUGAAAGCCCACGGCUCAACCGUGGAGGGUCAUUGGAAACUGGAAAACUUGAGUGCAGAAGAGGAAAGUGGAAUUCCAUGUGUAGCGGUGAAAUGCGCAGAGAUAUGGAGGAACACCAGUGGCGAAGGCGACUUUCUGGUCUGUAACUGACGCUGAUGUGCGAAAGCGUGGGGAUCAAACAGGAUUAGAUACCCUGGUAGUCCACGCCGUAAACGAUGAGUGCUAAGUGUUAGGGGGUUUCCGCCCCUUAGUGCUGCAGCUAACGCAUUAAGCACUCCGCCUGGGGAGUACGACCGCAAGGUUGAAACUCAAAGGAAUUGACGGGGACCCGCACAAGCGGUGGAGCAUGUGGUUUAAUUCGAAGCAACGCGAAGAACCUUACCAAAUCUUGACAUCCUUUGACAACUCUAGAGAUAGAGCCUUCCUCUUCGGGGGACAAAGUGACAGGUGGUGCAUGGUUGUCGUCAGCUCGUGUCGUGAGAUGUUGGGUUAAGUCCCGCAACGAGCGCA